UGAGCAAUCUGCCCUUCACAUCGGAAUAACCAUUGGAAACGAUGGCUAAUACCGAAUAUGACUUCGGAUCGCAUGAUCUGAAGUGGAAAGCUCGGCGGUGAAGGAUGAGCUCGCGGCCUAUCAGCUUGUUGGUGAGGUAAUAGCUCACCAAGGCGAUGACGGGUAGCCGGCCUGAGAGGGUGACCGGCCACACGUGGGACUGAGACACCGGCA
RNAcentral lists this ribosomal RNA (213 nucleotides) under uncultured bacterium. RNAcentral describes it as "partial 16S ribosomal RNA". It matches the Rfam family "Bacterial small subunit ribosomal RNA", at positions 118 to 332 of the family's 1533-position model. The record is from RNAcentral.